CAUUCUAUCUAAUCACACCCUUAGAGAUAAAAGAUGGAUUGUCUGUUUCCAUCACCUCUAGUCAAGAGUGUUAUAUCCCCGCAGCUAAAAUUCGUGCUAUGUUACAUCAAUUGGGUUCAUCGAAAAAUACAGACCGUAACUGAAACCAGUGAUAUCCUACAUUACAGUACAAUGUACACACAAUUUUGGUAAGUACACAAAGAGGCGCACCCUCCUCAUUCACUUUUUUCCGAUACACCCUUUCCGUCUUCGACUUCUCGUAAAUACUUCCGUUUAUCUUCUGCAGAAUCAAAAGUCUACGUUUAAAUUGCCAAAUGAAAAAAAAAAAGUUGAUUGAUUGGCUGUUUGCUAAUCUGGGUUUCUUCCAAAAUUUCAAAUUUCGAUAAAGAUUGACCAUGAAAUGGCUUGUUUGUGACUCAACGAGUUGGUGUUUUGAAAUUUCUAAUUUUUGAUUACUUGUUAAAGUUUGUUAAUCAAUGGAGGCUUAUAAGACAUGGGUUAGGAGGAACAAAGACUAUGUGCACUCCUUGCAAUCUCUUGCCAAUGGAUUGACAUGGCUGCUUCCUGAAAGGUUCUCCAAUUCACAGAUAGGUCCAGAAGCAGUAACUGCAACUUUGGGCACACUCACUGCCAUCAACGAGCAUAUAAUCGAUACUGCCCCUGAAGAGAGCCAUACUGGCUUGGCUGACCCUUUGUCAUUCCCUUAUGGGUUGUACAUAUCUGCACUAAAGGACUUGGGAACUUUGGUUGAAGUUGUGGCAGAGCAAUACUAUGGUGAUAAGAGAUGGAGUUUUAUUGCUGUUAGGAAGCUACCAAAACUGUGGAUAUAAAAUGCUUCUGCAUGGAGGAGAGACACCAAAUGUUGGAAAGAUUCUGAUGAUACAAGUUUACAAUAUAAAGUUGGGGGCUUCCCUUUUGAGCCGAUUUGGAGAGAGUGCUUGGAUGAUAUCUGACCCAUUAUGGGUGCAGAGAAGUAAACAACAGCAUGCAAUUAUAAAGCCUCAAACUUCAACUAUUGAAAGGCGUACUCUCUCUAUGAUUUUAUCGGAGAAGUGUGUUAAUGGAGCUAUAUUUAUUCUCGGGAAGGUCCUCUUUAUUACGAGGCCACUUAGGGAUAUCUUGUAAAUCCCUUAAAUCAUGGGAUAUGGUUAAUCUCGACUGUCAAUGUAAAUGUAUCUUGUCCGUCGGUUUUGGGGAGCUCAAGUAUAAAUAGAGAGCUUCCCCCUCACUUGUAAAUCAUCCAUUGUAUUUGAGAGUUCUUAAGAGUAAUAGAAUUUUGAGAGCAUUUACUCAAAUAUCUUGUGUGCGAUCUUUUCUGUAGCUUUCUGUUGUUCUUUGGUUGCUUCUUUUGGCAUAAGUUUGCUUCCACUAUUCGAUUUGGUGCCUUGGAGGAGUUCUUAAGAAAUCCUCAUUCGAGUAAAGGCUGACUUAGGCGAGUUUGGACGAGCGAAUCACCUAAGGCUGCACUGAUUGCGAGACGAAAGGUCUAGCCUAGUGACAAGUGGUAUCCGAGCUAUUGGUUCGAAGGCACUGUUGGGAUGUCGAAAGAAGUCGUUGGUCAGAAUGAGCCAAUGGAGAUCCGAGGAAGGGCCAGAAAAGCAAGUCGAUCAAGGGACUUGUUGUCAGCUUUGGAGGAUCGAGUCGCCACUUUCAAGGAGUCCAUGGAAGACGUCAAGGAGAGGAUUGGCGAUGUCGAUGAUAGACUCAUUGAUGGGUUGCAAACGAUGAAGAAGCAGCUCAGGGAAUAUGUGUGGGAUAAGUGCUUUUGAAAAUUUUUGUUUAAAAUUUGAGUGUUUAGCAUUGCUGUCAAAAAGUACUUUUGAGAAAUAAAAUGUCUAUUUUAGACAUAUUAUUAUCAAGUAAUAAA
Molecule: RNA transcript, 1867 nt
Organism: Gossypium arboreum
Lineage: Eukaryota; Viridiplantae; Streptophyta; Magnoliopsida; Malvales; Malvaceae
Gene name: peroxisome biogenesis protein 16
Exons: 5
Source: RefSeq, a predicted model, not a curated record